RNAcentral lists this transfer RNA (87 nucleotides) under Pseudomonas aeruginosa. RNAcentral describes it as "tRNA-???(tc)". The record is from RNAcentral. Lineage: Bacteria; Pseudomonadati; Pseudomonadota; Gammaproteobacteria; Pseudomonadales; Pseudomonadaceae.
GGCUGCGUAGCUGGUACAGCGCGGUGCUUUCCGCCACUACCUCGCCCUGCUCGUCGGUGAGUUGCAGUUCGAGGCUGUAUGCGGCCU